CUUAUCCGGAGUGACUGAGGGAUCAGGCCCUAUGACGUCCGACAACCUGCUUUUAUAGUAAGGUGCCAAAUCCUGCGGUGUAACCGAAAGAUGAG
Molecule: non-coding RNA, 95 nt
Filed under: bovine gut metagenome
Description: SAM riboswitch (S box leader)
Rfam family: SAM riboswitch aptamer (S box leader)
About the family: The SAM riboswitch is found upstream of a number of genes which code for proteins involved in methionine or cysteine biosynthesis in Gram-positive bacteria. The SAM riboswitch acts at the level of transcription termination control. The predicted structure consists of a complex stem-loop region followed by a single stem loop terminator region.
Source: RNAcentral